CUACAGAGGUGAGCUCAGGGUACCCACCACAGGGAUGGCACGAUGGAGGGCAAGAUGCAGGGGUCAGGGGAAUGCUUGUGCAGGCGUAAUGAUCUGAAGUUGGGGAGGGAAAGAGCAUUCCAGCAGAAGGACCAUUAUGAGGAAAGGCAUCAUAUUGCUUGGGAGUUAUGUUGGAGAAUUCCAUUAUCCACUCUUUAUCCACCAAGGCACUGCACUUCCUGGAAUGAACCUCGGUCUGCCUUUUUUGAUUAUAGGUGAAGCCAAGCAUAGCAUCUUUCAUCUUUGGGAAAAGGCUGAAUUCCUCUGAGGCUCUGUACUGGGAGCUCUUUACUGAGCAGGGUGUGAAGUCAUAAAGGAAGACAAAGAUAAAGGCGCUGCCCUCAAGAAGAUUUGAAUCUAAAGCACUGGGUUGAUACCACUCGGAGCCAUGUAAGAAGCCCAGACCAAGACUCAUCCAGUCUGUGGUCAGAUAAAACAUGAAUUUAGAACUCUGAAGUCUGGUUUGAGAGUCUUAAUGGUCCAAAUACAGAAGUGGGGG
RNAcentral lists this long non-coding RNA (538 nucleotides) under Rhinopithecus bieti (black snub-nosed monkey). Its description in RNAcentral is "lncRNA (ENSRBIG00000045257.1)". Lineage: Eukaryota; Metazoa; Chordata; Mammalia; Primates; Cercopithecidae. The record is from RNAcentral.